RNAcentral lists this ribosomal RNA (459 nucleotides) under uncultured bacterium. Its description in RNAcentral is "partial 16S ribosomal RNA". It matches the Rfam family "Bacterial small subunit ribosomal RNA", at positions 338 to 795 of the family's 1533-position model. The record is from RNAcentral.
CCUACGGGAGGCAGCAGUGAGGAAUAUUGGUCAAUGGUCGGGAGACUGAACCAGCCAAGCCGCGUGAGGGAUGAAGGUACAGAGUAUCGUAAACCUCUUUUGUCAGGGAACAAAGGCGGGUACGUGUCCCCGGAUGAGUGUACCCGAAGAAAAAGCAUCGGCUAACUCCGUGCCAGCAGCCGCGGUAAUACGGAGGAUGCGAGCGUUAUCCGGAUUUAUUGGGUUUAAAGGGUGCGCAGGCGGUCUGUUCAGUCAGCGGUAAAAGGCCGGGGCUCAACCCCGGCCCGCCGUUGAAACUGGCAGUCUGGAGUUGGAGAGAAGUAUGCGGAAUGCGCGGUGUAGCGGUGAAAUGCAUAGAUAUCGCGCAGAACUCCGAUUGCGAAGGCAGCAUGCCGGCUCCACACUGACGCUGAGGCACGAAAGCGUGGGUAUCGAACAGGAUUAGAUACCCGGGUAGUC